GUGCAGCAGGCGCGAAACUUCGCAAUGCGCGAAAGCGCGACGAGGGGAUUCCAAGUGCAUGCACUAAGUGUAUGCUUUUCGUGAGUUUAAAACGCUCACGGAAUAAGGGCUGGGUAAGACUGGUGCCAGCCGCCGCGGUAAUACCAGCGGCCCUAGUGGUGAUCGUUAUUAUUGGGCCUAAAGCGUCCGUAGCCGGUCCGGUAAAUCUCUGGGUAAAUCGUUGGGCUUAACUCAGCGAAUUCUGGGGAGACUGCUGGACUUGGGACCGGGAGAGGUCGGAGGUACUCCAGGGGUAGGGGUGAAAUCCUGUAAUCCUUGGGGGACCACCGGUGGCGAAGGCGUCCGACCAGAACGGGUCCGACGGUAAGGGACGAAGCCCUGGGGCGCGAACCGGAUUAGAUACCCC
Molecule: ribosomal RNA, 406 nt
Filed under: uncultured microorganism
Description: bacterial SSU rRNA
Rfam family: Archaeal small subunit ribosomal RNA
Source: RNAcentral